CGUGGGUAACCUGCCUUAUAGUGGGGGAUAGCCUUUCGAAAGGAAGAUUAAUACGCAUAAGAUUGUAGUAUCGCAUGAUAUAGCAAUUAAAGGAGCAAUUCGCUAUAAGAUGGACCCGCGUCGCAUUAGCUAGUUGGUGAGGUAAGUGGCUCACCAAGGCGACGAUGCGUAGCCGACCUGAGAGGGUGAUCGGCCACAUUGGGACUGAGACACGGCCCAGACUCCUACGGGAGGCAGCAUG
This 241-nucleotide ribosomal RNA is filed under the name uncultured bacterium. RNAcentral describes it as "partial 16S ribosomal RNA". It matches the Rfam family "Bacterial small subunit ribosomal RNA", at positions 116 to 353 of the family's 1533-position model. The record is from RNAcentral.